This 477-nucleotide ribosomal RNA is filed under the name uncultured bacterium. Its description in RNAcentral is "partial 16S ribosomal RNA". It matches the Rfam family "Bacterial small subunit ribosomal RNA", at positions 28 to 507 of the family's 1533-position model. The record is from RNAcentral.
GAUUAACGCUGGCGGCGUGCAUAACACAUGCAAGUCGAACGAUGAAACUUUAAUGAACCCUUCGGGGAGAAUUAAAGCGGAUUAGUGGCGAACGGGUGAGUAACGCGUGAGUAACCUGCCUUACACAGGGGGAUAGCCUUUGGAAACGAAGAAUAAUACCCUAUAAAACCAUAAAAGCACAUGCAAUUAUGGUCAAAGUGAUAGCGGUGUAAGAUGGACUUGCGUCUGAUUAGCUAGUUGGUGAGAUAAAAGCCCACCAAGGCAACGAUCAGUAGCCGGCUUGAGAGAGUGUACGGCCACAUUGGGACUGAGACACGGCCCAGACUCCUACGGGAGGCAGCAGUGGGGAAUUUUGCACAAUGGGGGAAACCCUGAUGCAGCGACGCCGCGUGAUUUAGAAGGCCUUCGGGUUGUAAAAAUCUUUUGUAUAGGAAGAAAAUGACAGUACUAUACGAAUAAGGUCCGGCUAAUUACGUG